UCUCGCCAGAGCACUACGAGCCCAGCUUAAAACUCAAAGGACCUGGCGGCGCCCUACACCCACCUAGAGGAGCCUGUUCUAUAAUCGACACCCCCCGAUAAACCUCACCACCUCUUGCUAAUACAGUCUAUAUACCACCGCCUCAGUGUACCUUUUAAAAGAAUAAAAGUGAACGAAAUAAUUUUAAAUAAAAAAGUCAGGUCAAGGUGUAGCAAAUGAGCUGGAAAGAAAUGGGCUACAUUUUUUAUUUUAAAAAACACGGAAUAUUUUAUGAAAUAAGAUAUAAAGGAGAAUUUAGAAGUAAAAAGAAAAAAGAGUGUUCUUUUUAAAUAGGCAAUAGAGCACGCACACACCGCCCGUCACCCUCUUUAAAAUAAUUAAGAUCAGUUAUAAAAGAGGAAAGUCGUAACAUGGUAAGUCUACCGGAAGGUGGCCUUGGAUACAGAUUAUAGCCUAAAAUAAAGCAUUUUGUUUACACCAAAAAAAUAUUUGUUCACCCAAAUUAUUCUGAAUCUUAAUUCUAGCCCAAACACAAUCAUUACCC
RNAcentral lists this unclassified non-coding RNA (544 nucleotides) under Desmognathus wrighti (pygmy salamander). RNAcentral describes it as "partial contains 12S ribosomal RNA, tRNA-Val and 16S ribosomal RNA". Lineage: Eukaryota; Metazoa; Chordata; Amphibia; Caudata; Plethodontidae. The record is from RNAcentral.